GUGCCCUAUAGGUCGCCUUUUUCGGCAGCCUCUCCGGUCUGGGAGUCAUUCCUCUCACUGAGAGUGUUCUCUCGUUUGUGAGUCGCAUUGUUUGUAGCGUUCUGUGUAGCGUCCGUCUCUGUGUGUGUGGUGUGUGUGUGGAGCUGCUCUGCCCAGGGCUGUCGAGUUGGGGAUAGGCGGAAUAGCAAUAGGAGCAUACGGUUAGCGUGCCGAUACGGCCCGUCCGGAAUUGUUUGGCUCUCACUCGGCAUCUGGGUGACUUGUUUGAUAACUCGGUGUGAUUUUUCCAGAUGCGGACUGGCUAGAUGCCCACUGAAGAGCGGCAGAGGAGGAGAGCAGAGUGCCGUAAGAAGGUGGCGGUCAGGCCUCGGCACGGCAGGCCGAAGAAUCCGACUCCGAGCGGCCGAGGAAAAGGGACGGGCGAGAGGAAGGCGUUUCCAAGGAGGGCUUCGUCGCAGCGGAGGUCGACGCCGGGCGGCACGUCGGCGCCCGGCGACGCUCUGUCUCGUGAGGGAUGAAGCGGAACCGGCGGAUGGGGGAGCGUCCCGGUUAGAUGACCUUUUCCCCAUGAGAAGGGAAUCUGGAUUCUGCCCUCUGAAAGGCAGGGAAUCAGAGUAGCUAUCCAGGUGACUGCAAGCUGCACGUGUUUGGCCAGGGGUUGGAAUCAGAGGAUCCAGAUUCCAUUGUAGUAGAAAGCUCUGGAACGAGAAAAAUGUUAAGCGAAGCAGGAGAGAUUGACUGUCAAUGUGC
Grus americana (Whooping crane) is the source of this 750-nucleotide long non-coding RNA. RefSeq lists it as uncharacterized. NCBI's taxonomy places the organism in Eukaryota, Metazoa, Chordata, Aves, Gruiformes, Gruidae. The transcript has 3 exons. The record is from RefSeq and is a predicted model, not a curated record.